RNAcentral lists this ribosomal RNA (440 nucleotides) under uncultured bacterium. RNAcentral's name for it is "partial 16S ribosomal RNA". It matches the Rfam family "Bacterial small subunit ribosomal RNA", at positions 338 to 795 of the family's 1533-position model. The record is from RNAcentral.
CCUACGGGGGGCAGCAGUAGGGAAUAUUGCUCAAUGGGGGAAACCCUGAAGCAGCAACGCCGCGUGGAGGAUGAAGGUUUUCGGAUUGUAAACUCCUUUUGUUAGAGAAGAUAAUGACGGUAUCUAACGAAUAAGCACCUGCUAACACCGUGCCAGCAGCCGCGGUAAUACGGAGGGUGCAAGCGUUACUCGGAAUCACUGGGCGUAAAGAGCGCGUAGGCGGGAUAGAUAGUACGAUGUGAAAACCUAUGGCUUAACCCUAGAACUGAAUUUGAUACUGUUAUUCUAGAGUAUGGGAGAGGUAGGCGGAAUUCUUGGUGUAGGGGUAAAAUGCGUAGAGAUCAAGAGGAAUACUCAUUGCGAAGGCGGCCUGCUAGAACAUAACUGACGCUGAUGCGCGAAAGCGUGGGGAGCAAACAGGAUUAGAUACCCUUGUAGUC